GAUGAAGAACGCAGCGAAAUGCGAUAAGUAAUGUGAAUUGCAGAAUUCAGUGAAUCAUCGAAUCUUUGAACGCAUCUUGCGCUCCUUGGUAUUCUGAAGAGCAUGCCUGUUUGAGUGUCAUUAAAUUCUCAACUACACUGACUUUGAAUUGGUGUGGCUUGGAUUUGGGGGGAAAAUUGUUGUGGGCUUUUUGUAUAGUCUGCUCCCCUGAAAUUGAUUAGCGGUACCUUUGUGGAACUGUCUACAGGUGUGAUAAUUAUCUACAUCUUAGACAUCUGCUGGAAUGCUGCUUUCUAAACCUUACUUGUAUUGACAAUCUUGACCUCAAAUCAGGUAGGACUACCCGCUGAACUUAAGCAUAUCAAUAAGCGGAGGA
RNAcentral lists this unclassified non-coding RNA (376 nucleotides) under soil metagenome. Its description in RNAcentral is "partial contains 5.8S ribosomal RNA, internal transcribed spacer 2, and large subunit ribosomal RNA". The stretch from base 1 to 120 matches the Rfam family "5.8S ribosomal RNA", at positions 35 to 154 of the family's 154-position model. The record is from RNAcentral.